Long non-coding RNA from Labeo rohita (rohu), 2405 nucleotides. RefSeq lists it as uncharacterized. NCBI's taxonomy places the organism in Eukaryota, Metazoa, Chordata, Actinopteri, Cypriniformes, Cyprinidae. The transcript is spliced from 3 exons. The record is from RefSeq and is a predicted model, not a curated record.
CAGAGCAGGUAGCUAGGAUGUUGCUAAGGUGUUCAGAGUGGUUUCUAGAGUUUAUUUGGUAGCUAAGAUGUUGCUAAGGUGUUCAGAGCAGGUAGCUAGGAUGUUGCUAAGGUGUUCAGAGUGGUUUCUAGAGUUUAUAUGGUAGCUAGGAUGUUGCUAAGGUGUUCAGAGCAGGUAGCUAGGAUGUUGCUAAGGUGUUCAGAGUGGUUUCUAGAGUUUAUAUGGUAGCUAGGAUGUUGCUAAGGUGUUCCCAGGGAUUUCUAAGGUUUACAUGGUAGCUGGGAUGUUGCUAAGAUGUUCAGAGGAGGUAGCUAGGAUGUUGCUAAGGUGUUCCAAGGGGUUUCUAGGGUUUACAUGGUAGCUAGGAUGUUGCUAAGGUGUUCCCAGGGAUUUUUAAGGUUUACGUGGUAGCUAGAAUGUUGCCAAGGAGCUUAUAGCAGGUAACCAGGAUGUUGCGAAGGUGUUCAGAGGGGUUUCUAGGGUUUAUGUGGCAACUAGGAUGUUGCUAAGGUGUUCCCAGGGAUUUCUAUGGUUUACAUGGUAGCUAGGAUGUUGCUAAGGUGUUCAGAGCAGGUAACUAGGAUGUUGCUAAGGUAUUCAGAGGGGUUUCUAGGGUUUAUGUGGUAACUAGGAUGUUGCUAAGGUGUUCCCAGGGAUUUCUAAGGUUUACAUGGUAGCUAGGAUGUUGCUAAGGUGUUCAGAGGAGGUAACUAGGAUGCUGUGAAGGUGUUCAGAGGGGUUUCUAGGGUUUAUGUGGUAACUAGGAUGUUGCUAAGGUGUUCCCAGGGAUUUCUAAGGUUUACAUGGUAGCUAGGAUGUUGCUAAGGUGUUCAGAGGAGGUAACUAGGAUGUUGCUAAGGUGUUCCAAGGGGUUUCUAGGGUUUACAUGGUAGCUGGGAUGUUGCUAAGAUGUUCAGAGGAGGUAGCUAGGAUGUUGCUAAGGUGUUCCAAGGGGUUUCUAGGGUUUACAUGGUAGCUGGGAUGUUGCUAAGAUGUUCAGAGGAGGUAGCUAGGAUGUUGCUAAGGUGUUCCCAGGGAUUUCUAAGGUUUACAUGGUAGCUGGGAUGUUGCUAAGAUGUUCAGAGGAGGUAGCUAGGAUGUUGCUAAGAUGUUCAGAGGAGGUAGCUAGGAUGUUGCUAAGGUGUUCCAAGGGGUUUCUAGGGUUUACAUGGUAGCUGGGAUGUUGCUAAGAUGUUCAGAGGAGGUAGCUAGGAUGUUGCUAAGGUGUUCCAAGGGGUUUCUAGGGUUUACAUGGUAGCUAGGAUGUUGCUAAGGUGUUCCCAGGGAUUUUUAAGGUUUACGUGGUAGCUACAAUGUUGCCAAGGAGUUUAUAGCAGGUAACCAGGAUGUUGCGAAGGUGUUCAGAGGGGUUUCUAGGGUUUAUGUGGCAACUAGGAUGUUGCUAAGGUGUUCAGAGUGGUUUCUAGAGUUUAUAUGGUAGCUAGGAUGUUGCUAAGGUGUUCAGAGCAGGUAGCUAGGAUGUUGCUAAGGUGUUCAGAGUGGUUUCUAGAGUUUAUAUGGUAGCUAAGAUGUUGCUAAGGUGUUCAAAGCAGGUAGCUAGGAUGUUGCUAAGGUGUUCAGAGUGGUUUCUAGAGUUUAUAUGGUAGCUAGGAUGUUGCUAAGGUGUUCAAAACAGGUAGCUAGGAUGUUGCUAAGGUGUUCAGAGUGGUUUCUAGAGUUUAUAUGGUAGCUAGGAUGUUGCUAAGGUGUUCAGAGUGGUUUCUAGAGUUUAUAUGGUAGCUAAGAUGUUGCUAAGGUGUUCAGAGCAGGUAGCUAGGAUGUUGCUAAGGUGUUCAGAGUGGUUUCUAGAGUUUAUAUGGUAGCUAAGAUGUUGCUAAGGUGUUCAGAGCAGGUAGCUAGGAUGUUGCUAAGGUGUUCAGAGUGGUUUCUAGAGUUUAUAUGGUAGCUAGGAUGUUGCUAAGGUGUUCCCAGGGAUUUCUAAGGUUUACAUGGUAGCUGGGAUGUUGCUAAGAUGUUCAGAGGAGGUAGCUAGGAUGUUGCUAAGGUGUUCCAAGGGGUUUCUAGGGUUUACAUGGUAGCUAGGAUGUUGCUAAGGUGUUCCCAGGGAUUUUUAAGGUUUACGUGGUAGCUAGAAUGUUGCCAAGGAGCUUAUAGCAGGUAACCAGGAUGUUGCGAAGGUGUUCAGAGGGGUUUCUAGGGUUUAUGUGGCAACUAGGAUGUUGCUAAGGUGUUCCCAGGGAUUUCUAUGGUUUACAUGGUAGCUAGGAUGUUGCUAAGGUGUUCAGAGGAGGUAACUAGGAUGCUGUGAAGGUGUUCAGAGGGGUUUCUAGGGUUUAUGUGGUAACUAGGAUGUUGCUAAGGUGUUCCCAGGGAUUUCUAAGGUUUACAUGGUAGCUAGGAUGUUGCUAAGGUGUUCAGAGGAGGUAACUAGGAUGUUGUGAAGG